UACGUAGGGGGCAAGCGUUAUCCGGAUUUACUGGGUGUAAAGGGAGCGUAGACGGCCAGACAAGUCAGAAGUGAAAGCCCAGGGCUCAACCCUGGGACUGCUUUUGAAACUGCCGGGCUGGAGUGCAGGAGAGGUAAGCGGAAUUCCUAGUGUAGCGGUGAAAUGCGUAGAUAUCACGCAGAACUCCGAUUGCGAAGGCAGCAUACCGGCGCCCGACUGACGCUGAAGCACGAAAGCGUGGGUAUCGAACAGG
This 253-nucleotide ribosomal RNA is filed under the name uncultured Lachnospiraceae bacterium. RNAcentral's name for it is "partial 16S ribosomal RNA". It matches the Rfam family "Bacterial small subunit ribosomal RNA", at positions 524 to 776 of the family's 1533-position model. Lineage: Bacteria; Bacillati; Bacillota; Clostridia; Lachnospirales; Lachnospiraceae. The record is from RNAcentral.